Molecule: long non-coding RNA, 2082 nt
Organism: Podarcis muralis (Common wall lizard)
Lineage: Eukaryota; Metazoa; Chordata; Lepidosauria; Squamata; Lacertidae
Source: Ensembl
ACCCUUUCGUCUUGCGAGUUUUUGUCUUGCAAGGCAUUCGUCUUGCGAGACUUGGAUCCUGCCAAAGUCUGUACUGGAAAGGGGGCUGUGACCCUCUGGGCGUCUCCAACCUAUGAGGAGAAUCGGAGCGUCAGUCCUACAAGUCAUUCACAAGACGUCCACCAAUCUGAAAAUGAUUGGAGGUUACCGCUUAGUGUCGACUCCAAUGGGGAUGCUCAGUCCUCUGCUCUGGCUGCCAAGGGCUACCGCAGUGUGCGGCCAAACCUCUCUGAGAGCAAACCACACGACCCCUGUCCUCUGCUCUAUGAAGCGCCCAGGUCCAGCAGUGGCACAGAGUGCUAUGGCUCCCUAACUCUCACCAGCAAACCCACCUCUGGGUACCCCUCCACCACCAUAGUCAACCCCACCAUCGUCCUUUUGCAGCACAACAGAGAGCCAGCGAUAGAUGUGCCACUAGUGGAUAAAGUAGAUUAUAUGCCUGUCCAAGAAAAGAUGAGCCAAAGCAAGAAACAAGGAAUGGAGGAAAGGAAGAAAGUAAUUAAGAGUCCACAGUACAUGACCGAUUCCUCACCGGAUGACAUAGGCAUUCCAUUAAGGAACACGGACCGAUCAAAGGACUGGUACAAGACGAUGUUCAAGCAGAUUCACAGGCUGACAAAAGAUGAAGAUUCCGAUUCCUGUGUGCCUCAGUACUCCUUUUACAAAGACACAAGAGCACAGACUUCAGUACCCCGUUCCAAGAGCGAGAACGACACUAUCGACAUGGAGAAAGUGGUCAAGAGAUCUGCCACUCUGCCCCUGCCAGCUCGUACCUCUUCUCUUAAACCGAGCACUGAAAGGAAUGAUUGGGAGCCUCCGGACAAGAAGGUGGACACAAGAAAAUACCGCGCUGAACCUAAAAGCAUUUAUGAAUAUCAGCCAGGAAGGUCCUCUGUUCUGAACAAUGAAAAAUUGACUCGGGAUAUAAGCCCAGAAGAGAUAGAUUUAAAGAAUGAGCCUUGGUAUAAAUUCUUUUCGGAAUUGGAGUUUGGGAAACCGCCUCCAAAAAAGAUUUGGGAUUAUACUCCGGGAGAUUGCUCUAUCCUUACUAGAGAGGAUAGAAAGGUAAUUCAAACAUACGUUGUACUAUACUCGCCGUAUUCCCCCAGCUACCAUUCUGCAAAGAGAGAGUUUGAAACAGCUCUGGGAGAUGCCACCGGGCCGGAAAACGAAAGGCAAAUAUACAAAAGUGUUUUAGAAGGUGGCGAUAUCCCGCUGCAAGGGCUAAGCGGUCUCAAACGUCCCUCCAGCUCGGCUUCCACUAAAGAUUCAGAAUCACCAAGGCAUUUUGCACCACUUGAUUACAUGGAGAGUCCUGAAGAAUUUUCCCGCAGGCGCCACAGUGAUAAAGAGAUGAGAGCUGCCAGAGCGAAGUUUGACUUUAAAGCCCAGACACUCAAGGAGCUCCCACUGAAGAAAGGGGAUGUCGUUUACAUUUAUAAGCAAAUUGAUCAGAAUUGGUUUGAAGGCGAACACCAUGGCAGAGUUGGAAUUUUCCCACAAUCAUACAUAGAGCUACUCCCUCCCACAGAAAAAGCUCAGCCUAAGAAAACAUCACCGAUACAAGUCCUGGAAUACGGUGACGCUAUUGCCAAGUUCAAUUUCAAUGGUGACACUCAAGUGGAAAUGUCUUUCAGAAAGGGCGAGAGGAUCACACUGAUUCGGCAAGUGGACGAAAACUGGUAUGAAGGAAAAAUCCCCAGCACUCACCGCCAAGGCAUCUUCCCGGUCACAUACGUGGACAUUUUCAAGCAGCCGGUGCUGAAGAACACACUAGACUAUGGCAGCUUGUCGUUCUGCCACUCCCCAAACCGGAGUCUGACAACAUCCCCGCAGGUACCUAGCAGCGCACAGAAACGCCGUUUACCUUCCCGCCGGAGCAGUACCUAUUUAUCUACUUCAUUGUACAGCUAUGUCCCGCAGAAUGAAGAUGAGCUGGAGUUAAGAGAUGGAGAUAUCAUAGAUGUCAUGGAGAAGUGUGAUGACGGCUGGUUUGUUGGUGAGCAUGACAUCUGUCAUUUCAACUCGUUUUUAAAACGUUAA